UGGUGGUCCAGCGGCUAAGGAUCCUGUGUUCUCACUGCAGCAGCCCGGGUUCGAUUCCCGGGCUCAA
Ameiurus melas (black bullhead) is the source of this 67-nucleotide non-coding RNA. NCBI's taxonomy places the organism in Eukaryota, Metazoa, Chordata, Actinopteri, Siluriformes, Ictaluridae. The record is from the annotation of a GenBank genome assembly.